UAAUACGUAGGGGCCGAGCGUUGUCCGGAAUUACUGGGCGUAAAGCGCGCGCAGGCGGCGCGUUAAGCCUGACGUGAAAGCCCCCGGCUCAACCGGGGAGGGUCGUCGGGGACUGGCGCGCUUGAGGGCGGUAGGGGCCGGUGGAAUUCCCGGUGUAGUGGUGAAAUGCGUAGAGAUCGGGAGGAACACCAGUGGCGAAGGCGGCCGGCUGGGCCGACCCUGACGCUGAGGCGCGAAGGCGUGGGGAGCGAACGGGAUUAGAUACCCCGGUAGUCCACGCAGUAAACGAUGCAGACUAGGCGUGGGGGGACUUGACCCCCUCCGUGCCGCAGCCAACGCGACAAGUCUGCCGCCUGGGGAGUACGGCCGCAAGGCUA
This 377-nucleotide ribosomal RNA is filed under the name uncultured bacterium. RNAcentral's name for it is "bacterial SSU rRNA". It matches the Rfam family "Bacterial small subunit ribosomal RNA", at positions 521 to 896 of the family's 1533-position model. The record is from RNAcentral.